Molecule: ribosomal RNA, 471 nt
Filed under: uncultured bacterium
Lineage: Bacteria
Description: bacterial SSU rRNA
Rfam family: Bacterial small subunit ribosomal RNA
Source: RNAcentral
AGUCGAACGGCAGCAUAGGUGCUUGCACCUGAUGGCGAGUGGCGAACGGGUGAGUAAUAUAUCGGAACGUGUCCGGAAGUGGGGGAUAACGCAGCGAAAGUUGCGCUAAUACCGCAUAUGCCCUGAGGGGGAAAGGGGGGGAUCGCAAGACCUCUCGCUUUCGGAGUGGCCGAUAUCGGAUUAGCUAGUUGGUGGGGUAAAGGCCUACCAAGGCGACGAUCUGUAGCUGGUCUGAGAGGACGACCAGCCACACUGGGACUGAGACACGGCCCAGACUCCUACGGGAGGCAGCAGUGGGGAAUUUUGGACAAUGGGCGCAAGCCUGAUCCAGCCAUGCCGCGUGAGUGAAGAAGGCCUUCGGGUUGUAAAGCUCUUUCAGACGGAAAGAAAACGUGCAGAUUAAUACUCUGUAUGGAUGACGGUACCGUCAGAAGAAGCACCGGCUAACUACGUGCCAGCAGCCGCGGUAAU